This is a small nucleolar RNA of Lolium rigidum, 85 nucleotides long. RefSeq annotates it as small nucleolar RNA snoR27. The record is from RefSeq and is a predicted model, not a curated record. The transcript has a single exon. Lineage: Eukaryota; Viridiplantae; Streptophyta; Magnoliopsida; Poales; Poaceae.
UUUGGAUCGAUGAUGCUGUUGAAGAAUACUGCGUUAUCUUCCUGAUCAACUUCCUGAUGACACCAUUAUCUCGCUGAGAUCCAUG